AAAUUCUGAUUGAAUAUACUUAGGGUACGUUUGUUUGCACUCACUAGCAUUCACUAAACUGGAUUGGACUAAGUGGCAGUCUAGUCCCGUGUUUGAUACAAACUGGGACAAGUUUUAAUGAGACUCGCCCUAACUAAACGAGACUAAGCGCUUCACUAAAGGGUCUUAGCGAGACCCCCCCCCCGGAAAUCGGCCGGACUGCUAAGCCAACUCCUCCCUGCUUCGUCCAUCCUCGCUUUGCCCCUCCCAUCUACUUUUUCCUCACAAGAUUCGGAACCCAGGUCCCAUAUACAAAAUAUGCCCUGCUUCACCCCUCUCAUCUACCACUUCUAAACCCAGAUCCUGCAAAAUUCAAAACAAAAAAGACAAAAAAUUAGGCAAUAUUACCAUUUUGCAAAACCAGAUCCAAAUCCAAAAUUCUAAACCAAAAAAAAAAAAAAAAUUUACAAAAAUCUUUAGCUUCUGAAACGCACAGCAGUCGCUUUAAUCACAGUGCACCUAGUCCAAACUCCCUGAUCCCAAACCUUCGCCAUUGACGCUAGAGAAGUAAACCCAUUAAUACCCAGGUGACCCAGACUUUGAUUUGGGUUCUGAUUCGCUAAUUGGGUCCCAGAAAAAUUAGGAAGAAAAGAGGGAGAUGAAUGGAGAGAAAUAGGAAAAAAAAGAUGGAGAUGAAGAGGGAGAUGGAUGAAGAGAAAGAGGGAGAGG
Molecule: long non-coding RNA, 708 nt
Filed under: Malus domestica (apple)
Lineage: Eukaryota; Viridiplantae; Streptophyta; Magnoliopsida; Rosales; Rosaceae
Description: long non-coding RNA (MDOM_LNC006900)
Source: RNAcentral